Molecule: ribosomal RNA, 497 nt
Filed under: uncultured bacterium
Lineage: Bacteria
Description: partial 16S ribosomal RNA
Rfam family: Bacterial small subunit ribosomal RNA
Source: RNAcentral
GAUGAACGCUGGCGGCGUGCCUAAUACAUGCAAGUCGAGCGAACAGACGAGGAGCUUGCUCCUCUGACGUUAGCGGCGGACGGGUGAGUAACACGUGGAUAACCUACCUAUAAGACUGGGAUAACUUCGGGAAACCGGAGCUAAUACCGGAUAAUAUAUUGAACCGCAUGGUUCAAUAGUGAAAGACGGUUUUGCUGUCACUUAUAGAUGGAUCCGCGCCGCAUUAGCUAGUUGGUAAGGUAACGGCUUACCAAGGCAACGAUGCGUAGCCGACCUGAGAGGGUGAUCGGCCACACUGGAACUGAGACACGGCCCAGACUCCUACGGGAGGCAGCAGUAGGGAAUCUUCCGCAAUGGGCGAAAGCUUGACGGAGCAACGCCGCGUGAGUGAUGAAGGUCUUCGGAUCGUAAAACUCUGUUAUUAGGGAAGAACAAAUGUGUAAGUAGCUAUGCACGUCUUGACGGUACCUAAUCAGAAAGCCACGGCUAACUACGUG